This 520-nucleotide ribosomal RNA is filed under the name uncultured Entrophospora. Its description in RNAcentral is "SSU rRNA". It matches the Rfam family "Eukaryotic small subunit ribosomal RNA", at positions 569 to 1086 of the family's 1831-position model. Lineage: Eukaryota; Fungi; Glomeromycota; Glomeromycetes; Entrophosporales; Entrophosporaceae. The record is from RNAcentral.
AGCAGCCGCGGUAAUUCCAGCUCCAAUAGCGUAUAUUAAAGUUGUUGCAGUUAAAAAGCUCGUAGUUGAAUUUCGGGAUUGACACAUCGGUCGUGCCUUAAGGGGUAUGAACUGGUGUAGUCAAUUUCUCACCUUCUGGAGAACCGCGAUGCCCUUAAUUGGGUGUCGCGGGGAACCAGGACCUUUACUUUGAAAAAUUAGAGUGUUUAAAGCAGGCAUUUUGCUUGAAUACAUUAGCAUGGAAUAAUAAAAUAGGGCGGCAUGAUUCUAUUUUGUUGGUUUCUAGGAUCACCGUAAUGAUUAAUAGGGAUAGUUGGGGGCAUUAGUAUUCAAUUGUCAGAGGUGAAAUUCUUGGAUUUAUUGAAGACUAACUACUGCGAAAGCAUUUGCCAAGGAUGUUUUCAUUAAUCAAGAACGAAAGUUAGGGGAUCGAAGACGAUCAGAUACCGUCGUAGUCUUAACCAUAAACUAUGCCGACUAGGAUCAGACGAUGUUAAUUUUUAAUGUACUCGUUUGGCAC